RNAcentral lists this ribosomal RNA (250 nucleotides) under uncultured prokaryote. Its description in RNAcentral is "partial 16S ribosomal RNA". It matches the Rfam family "Bacterial small subunit ribosomal RNA", at positions 524 to 773 of the family's 1533-position model. The record is from RNAcentral.
UACGUAUGGUGCAAGCGUUAUCCGGAUUUACUGGGUGUAAAGGGAGCGUAGACGGCAUAGCAAGCCAGAUGUGAAAUGUAUGGGCUUAACCCAUAGACUGCAUUUGGAACUGUUAAGCUAGAGUGUCGGAGAGGUAAGUGGAAUUCCUAGUGUAGCGGUGAAAUGCGUAGAUAUUAGGAGGAACACCGGUGGCGAAGGCGGCUUACUGGACGGCAACUGACGUUGAGGCUCGAAAGCGUGGGGAGCAAAC